Molecule: ribosomal RNA, 433 nt
Filed under: uncultured bacterium
Lineage: Bacteria
Description: partial 16S ribosomal RNA
Rfam family: Bacterial small subunit ribosomal RNA
Source: RNAcentral
GACGAACGCUGGCGGCAUGCCUAACACAUGCAAGUCGAACGAGACCUUCGGUUCUAGUGGCGCAGGGGUGGGUAACGCGUGAGAACCUGCCCUUAGGGUGGGAAUAACGCCCCGAAAUGCUUGCUAAUACCGUGUAAGUGCGUCUGACCAAAGAUUUAUCGCCUUUGGAUGGUCCGGCGUUGGAUUAGCUAGUUGUUAGGGUAAAAGCCGACCAAGGCGACGAUCCCUAGCUUGUCUGAGAGGAUGAUCAGCCAAACUGGGACUGAGACACGGCCCAGACUACUACGGGAGGAAGCAGUGGGGACUGUUGGACAAUGGGCGAAAGCCUGAUCCAGCAAUGCCGCGUGAGUGACGAAGGCCUUAGGGUUGUAAAGCUCUCUUACCCGGGAUGAUAAUGACAGUAGCGGGAGAAUAAGCUCCGGCUAACUACGUG